Molecule: ribosomal RNA, 447 nt
Filed under: uncultured bacterium
Lineage: Bacteria
Description: bacterial SSU rRNA
Rfam family: Bacterial small subunit ribosomal RNA
Source: RNAcentral
AGCCAGACUCCUACGGGAGGCAGCAGUGGGGAAUAUUGCACAAUGGGGGAAACCCUGAUGCAGCGACGCCGCGUGAGCGAUGAAGUAUUUCGGUAUGUAAAGCUCUAUCAGCAGGGAAGAAGAUGACGGUACCUGACUAAGAAGCCCCGGCUAACUACGUGCCAGCAGCCGCGGUAAUACGUAGGGGGCAAGCGUUAUCCGGAUUUACUGGGUGUAAAGGGAGCGUAGGCGGCGAUGCAAGCCAGAUGUGAAAGCCCGGGGCUCAACCCCGGGACUGCAUUUGGAACUGUGUGGCUGGAGUGUCGGAGAGGCAGGCGGAAUUCCUAGUGUAGCGGUGAAAUGCGUAGAUAUUAGGAGGAACACCAGUGGCGAAGGCGGCCUGCUGGACGAUGACCGACGUUGAGGCUCGAAAGCGUGGGGAGCAAACAGGAUUAGAUACCCGGGUAA